This 376-nucleotide ribosomal RNA is filed under the name uncultured bacterium. RNAcentral describes it as "bacterial SSU rRNA". It matches the Rfam family "Bacterial small subunit ribosomal RNA", at positions 521 to 896 of the family's 1533-position model. The record is from RNAcentral.
UAAUACAGAGGGUGCAAGCGUUAAUCGGAAUUACUGGGCGUAAAGGGCGCGUAGGCGGUCUAAUAAGUUGGAUGUGAAAUCCCUGGGCUCAACCUAGGAACUGCAUCCAAGACUGUAAGACUAGAGUGCUGUAGAGGGUAGUGGAAUUUCCGGUGUAGCGGUGAAAUGCGUAGAUAUCGGAAGGAACACCAGUGGCGAAGGCGGCUACCUGGACAGACACUGACGCUGAGGCGCGAGAGCGUGGGGAGCAAACAGGAUUAGAUACCCUGGUAGUCCACGCUGUAAACGAUGAGAACUAGAUGUUGGUAGGCAUGACCUAUUAGUAUCGUAGCUAACGCGAUAAGUUCUCCGCCUGGGGAGUACGGCCGCAAGGUUA